GGAGAAUCUGAGACUUCUGAAGAGUUUCUUGCUUCUUUCCUGUGGGGCAGUGACUCCACUUCCCAGCAGUAAUGGAAUAUCCUGAAUUAGCUACAUUAAUGUUAGAACCAUUUGGACCUCACCCAGGACUUCAACUACAUUGUGCUAAAGUUACAGAAUCCAAAUUUGGCAACUGCCUGCAUCUGAACAACAGAAGUUUCAACAUUCUGCCAACAGAGUAACUCCUGGACGACUGGCACAGAAGAAGGCACAAGGCAAAUACCCAUCUCUGUACACCCUGUGCUACUGUGUCAUGUGCUGCUCCAGGCAACUCCAAUGGAUUGGCCACCCUGGCCAAUGUGUGAAUUAUAAAGCAAUGAUGUGUAGCUAUUGAACCUACAAUUUGGUUAAAAUUAAACUCUCAAGUUUUAUAUGUUUACAAGCAUAUUGUCCUUUUGUUAAUUUCCUCCCAAUACUCAUUCUUGACUUCUUUUAGUUUUACUAUGUAGUAAUUUUUAAAAUGUUAUUCAAAGUUAGUUAAUUUAAUUCACUUGGCAGAUUUUCCUGUAAUUUUGGUUAAACAGUAUCCUUUCUGUACAGGCCCUCCAAACACCAGCACUGAGUAGAAAGAGGCUCUGAUUCAUGAAAUGUGAAUUUAUGACAGUUGCCACUCUUUAAAAAAAAACAGACAGAACUUGAGCAAUACAUGACUGAUGCAUUCUCAGCCU
This 707-nucleotide small RNA is filed under the name Pongo abelii (Sumatran orangutan). RNAcentral describes it as "retained intron". Lineage: Eukaryota; Metazoa; Chordata; Mammalia; Primates; Hominidae. The record is from RNAcentral.